CGCGAGGGCAGGAGUGAAGUUCACGGCAAUGGGGCGGCGCGGGCAGAGGGCACCGGGUCCUCGAGGUAGUAUCGCCGUUCACGAGAUCAUCCCAUAAAGGGGGCUUGUUUUGCCAUUGGCAGCAGAAGAUAGCGAAUCCCAAAAUGCGAGCACACCCCGCACCCCGGCUCUGAAAGAUUUGUUGCAAAAACGUGGCUUGGACAGAAUUUUUCAGGUGUUGGGAGUUUGGCGGCCGCAGAGGAAUUAGUUAAAGCGUUGAGAUCCAAGUACUGUAGUUUUAUCUGAAAUGAAGUUGGCUUGGCAGGAAGUAGUUUCGGUAUACAGAGUCUAAAUAGUGUUCCAUGGAGAGGCUGAGGCAAGAGGAUCGCCGCGAGUUCGAGGCUAGCCAGAAUUUAAUAGUGAGGCACUGUCAUAAAAAACAAAACGAAACAAAAAGUUACAAAACGAUAUCUUCAAAAACAGUAUUUGCUGAGAAAAAAAUACUAUUAAGUGGUAUAAUAGAGUGGGUGGGAUUUACCCCAUCCAAACAUGAUUUAAAAAAAAAACAAACCCCAAAAACUAGGUAGAGGCUAGGGGUAGCUAGUGGUAGAGUGUCAGUUUACCAGGCGCGGGAGUCUGGAUUCAAUCCUCCUCAGUACCAAGAGGAAAAAAUACCAGACAAACUGAAUAAACCAUAGAUUUUAGUUGUAAAUAUCGAGGUUGCUGUGAACUGCACUAUAUUCAGUUUUUGUGAUCAAUUUAUAUUCUGCUUUGCAUAGGGGUCCAGCGCUAAGGAACAUUUUCAAUUUGAAUAAUUUGAAAACAUGAAACGAUUUAGAUACUGAUGAGAUUAGACAGGAGAGUAGGAUGAGAAGUGUUUAAAAGUGUUGAAUUUGGGCCUGGCACGGUGAUCUCUUGCUUGCAAUCCAGGACUCAGAAGGCUGAGGCAGGAGGAUCACAAGUUUGCAUCCAGCCGGAGCGACCUGUUUUUUGGAGAAAAGGUCUUGCUAUGUAAUUGAGGCUGCCCUCAAACUUAGAAAUCUCCUGCCUCACCCACGUAAGUGCUAGGAUUACAAGUGUGCAUUUUCUUGCCCAGCUAUUAAAGACCUGUGGUCAUCCAUGUGAACCUUGUAGCCAGCAAUGAUGGCAGUAGGUCGAAGAAGAAAACUAUAAUUGAAAAGUUUGUACUCACUAGGAUUAUAAUAGUGAAGAAGGUAUAAAGGAAUAUGCUGGGUGAGGUGAGGUAUACCUGUAAUCAGUCCCACCACUCUGGGAGGCUGAGGCAGGAUGGCAAGUUCAGGCCCAAUGCGGGCAAUUUAGUGAUUUAGUGAGA
RNAcentral lists this long non-coding RNA (1312 nucleotides) under Heterocephalus glaber (naked mole-rat). Its description in RNAcentral is "lncRNA (ENSHGLG00000037418.1)". The record is from RNAcentral. Lineage: Eukaryota; Metazoa; Chordata; Mammalia; Rodentia; Bathyergidae.